UUGAACGAAAUGAUGUGAAUUAAUUAAGUACCACAAAUAAAAUUCGUGUAAUUUUGUGACGAGUGUUCACAUUAGACAAAUUCUUUCGGAUGAAAAUGACUAAUGAAAAAGCAGUCUACAAUUCUACAGAUAUGCGUGACCGCGUGGAUGAAAAUCAUGCACUGUGGAAAAUUUUACGCUAUGCCGAUAAUCGAUUAAUUCACGAUACCUCGUAAAGGCUUUGUCCGCUAUUUUCUAAAUAUACACACCGAUAUGUUUUUAUAUUACUUUAUUACUCUAUUGAUAUCCAUCACUUUCACAAUGACAAAUGCACAUCGACCGUAGGAUAGAUAUUAUCCUAUUAUUUUGUUUGCGUUCCACUUCGUUCUCGUGUGUGUAGAAAAUUCCACUGAUAUGUAUCUUCGAACGAACGAACGAACGAAUGUCGUCUGUUGUGGUCUGCGAACCCACCCCGGUUACCAUGGAACCAUCGCUCCGC
This is a long non-coding RNA of Eufriesea mexicana, 478 nucleotides long. RefSeq lists it as uncharacterized. The record is from RefSeq and is a predicted model, not a curated record. The transcript has 4 exons. Lineage: Eukaryota; Metazoa; Arthropoda; Insecta; Hymenoptera; Apidae.